This 253-nucleotide ribosomal RNA is filed under the name uncultured prokaryote. Its description in RNAcentral is "partial 16S ribosomal RNA". It matches the Rfam family "Bacterial small subunit ribosomal RNA", at positions 524 to 776 of the family's 1533-position model. The record is from RNAcentral.
UACAGAGGUCCCAAGCGUUGUUCGGAUUCACUGGGCGUAAAGGGUGCGUAGGUGGUGAGGUAAGUCUGAUGUGAAAUCUCCGAGCUUAACUCGGAAAUGGCAUUGGAAACUACCUCGCUCGAGGAUUGGAGGGGGGACUGGAAUUUACGGUGUAGCGGUGAAAUGCGUAGAUAUCGUAAGGAAGACCAGUGGCGAAGGCGGGUCUCUGGACAGUUCCUGACGCUGAGGCACGAAGGUCAGGGGAGCAAACGGG